This 613-nucleotide ribosomal RNA is filed under the name Williopsis saturnus. RNAcentral describes it as "LSU rRNA". It matches the Rfam family "Eukaryotic large subunit ribosomal RNA", at positions 35 to 664 of the family's 3401-position model. Lineage: Eukaryota; Fungi; Ascomycota; Saccharomycetes; Phaffomycetales; Wickerhamomycetaceae. The record is from RNAcentral.
UGCAAUACAUAAGCGGAGGAAAAGAAACCAACAGGGAUUGCCUCAGUAACGGCGAGUGAAGCGGCAAAAGCUCAAAUUUGAAAUCUGGUACCUUUGGUGCCCGAGUUGUAAUUUGAAGAUAGUUUUCUGGUGCUGGCCCUUGUCUAUGUUCCUUGGAACAGGACGUCACAGAGGGUGAGAAUCCCGUCUGGCGGGGUGUCCAGUGCUUUGUAGAUUUCUAUCGACGAGUCGAGUUGUUUGGGAAUGCAGCUCUAAGUGGGUGGUAAAUUCCAUCUAAAGCUAAAUAUUGGCGAGAGACCGAUAGCGAACAAGUACAGUGAUGGAAAGAUGAAAAGAACUUUGAAAAGAGAGUGAAAAAGUACGUGAAAUUGUUGAAAGGGAAGGGUAUUAGAUCAGACUUGGUGUUUUGUGAUUAUCUUCCCUUCUUGGGUUGUGCACUCGCAUUUCACUGGGCCAGCAUCGGUUCGGGUGGUAAGAUAAUGACAUUGGAACGUGGCACUACCUUCGGGUGGUGUGUUAUAGCCCUUGUUGAUGUUGCCUACCUGGACCGAGGACUGCGGCUUUUGCCUAGGAUGCUGGCGUAAUGAUCUAACACCGCCCGUCUUGAACCGGG